GACGAACGCUGGCGGCGUGCCUAAUACAUGCAAGUCGAACGCAGUGGGGACGGGUGAGUAACACGUGGGUAACCUCCCAUCAGAGGGGAUAACACUUGGAAACAGGUGCUAAACCGAUACUGAUGGAUGGACCCGCGGUGCAUUAGCUAGUUGGUGAGGUAACGGCUCACCAAGGCCACGAUGCAUAGCCGACCGGGAGGGGGAGUCGGCCCACCUGGGAAUGGGACCCGGCCCCGACCCCUACGGGAGGCAGCCGGAGGGAAUCUUCGGCAAUGGACGAAAGUCUGACCGAGCAACGCGGCGUGAGUGAAGAAGGUUUUCGGAUCGUAAAACUCUGUUGUUAGAGAAGCGGUAUCUAACCAGAAAGCCACGGCUAACUACGUGCCAGCAGCCGCGGUAAUUC
RNAcentral lists this ribosomal RNA (403 nucleotides) under uncultured bacterium. RNAcentral describes it as "partial 16S ribosomal RNA". It matches the Rfam family "Bacterial small subunit ribosomal RNA", at positions 28 to 526 of the family's 1533-position model. The record is from RNAcentral.